CACCGCGGUCAGACAAGAAACCCAAAUUAACCUUAACACAAAACGGCGUAAAGAGUGGUAACAUGCUAUCAAAGUAACUAAGAUUAAAAUGCAACUGAGCCGUCACAAGCCCAAGAUGCCCAUAAGACCGCUGCUUCCAAAGAAAAUCUUAGGCCAACGAUGAAUUGAAACCCACGAAAGCCAGGGCC
This 188-nucleotide ribosomal RNA is filed under the name Acanthiza murina (papuan thornbill). RNAcentral describes it as "partial small subunit ribosomal RNA". Lineage: Eukaryota; Metazoa; Chordata; Aves; Passeriformes; Acanthizidae. The record is from RNAcentral.